AUGCAGAAAACACAAGGAAAUGCAGAAAACACAAGGAAAUGCACAAACGCGUGUUUCGAUUUCCCCCUUCUCUCCCACGAGGCGAGGAGCUGCCCUGCCGGCGGUGAUGCCGGUGUCACCCAGCCCCACCACAGCACUUCAUUAGCGCUAAUUUGUGCCGUCACGCUAAGUGGCGGGGAGCAGGGAGCAGGGACGGGGGCACGGAGCGUGGCCGGGCUGCCACCAGGCACCCUGACCCGGCCCUGCCCGCUCCCCGUCACACAGUGGAGUGAAAAGCACAACAGAGAUGCUGUUGGCAGCCAAACCCGGUUUUCUAGGCAGCUAAAAGUCGUCUCUUCCUGUGCCCAGGAAAGGGGUCAGACACAGCCCAGGGCUGGCAGGGCCGGAGGAGGUUGUGUGGAAAGGUCAAGAAUAAAACACAGCAAACACUGCGGGAUGGUGCCAAACGCACCUGGAGCCGACGCAGCUUGUUGUUCGUGUCCCCUCACACGUGCUCAGACCAAACUCGUUAGCUCCAGGAUUGGAAAAGCUGAAAAUACCCUGCCAUUGAAAUACAGACAGUGCUUAGAAAGUACAGGAGAGUCAAAAGGAGGUGUUGCACAGCGCUGGCAUUGCCACUUUGCUCGCUGUGGAUCAGGAGGAGCUGCGUGUUGGUGCGAUGUGGCUGUGCGGUCUCCACCAGCCUCUGCAGCUCCCAGCCCAAGUGAAGGGCUGAGGAUUUGUUCCUUUGCUUCCAGUCCCUUCCCUCCGACUGCCAGCCAGCAUGGCUCUAAAAGCUGUUGGGGACUCAGCUGGGGACACCAGUGCAGGCGGCUGGUGAUGCCUCACAGCACCGUGCAUCUCUAUUGGAGCUGCUUGUUGGCACGAGUUGCCAAAAUCCUUCACAAGGGAAGGGAAAUACACCCAGCAACGCACACGCGAGUGCUUCAUCUCAUCUCAUCUCCUAAUCCGCAGCGUUCAGAGGAAGAUUUAAUUUGCUGGGCUCGAAGAAGCGCUCACCCUGCAGCAUGCUGGCUGCAUACCAAUGACCAGGGGCUCUCCCCAGCUGCGGGAAUCAUCCUCCGGCAGCUCCUGGGGACACCCAGGGGGAAGCCAAAGCCUGAGGGGCUGCAGAAGGGCAGCACACAGGAGGCUCUGCACCAGUGUGCUUAA
This 1152-nucleotide long non-coding RNA is filed under the name Anas platyrhynchos platyrhynchos (common mallard). RNAcentral's name for it is "lncRNA (ENSAPLG00000026543.1)". Lineage: Eukaryota; Metazoa; Chordata; Aves; Anseriformes; Anatidae. The record is from RNAcentral.